CAGUCGCCGCGGGAAUACGUAGGGUGCGAGCGUUAAUCGGAAUUACUGGGCGUAAAGCGUGCGCAGGCGGUUCGUUAAGUCUGUUGUGAAAGCCCCGGGCUCAACCUGGGAAUGGCAAUGGAUACUGGCGAGCUAGAGUGUGUCAGAGGAUGGUGGAAUUCCCGGUGUAGCGGUGAAAUGCGUAGAGAUCGGGAGGAACAUCAGUGGCGAAGGCGGCCAUCUGGGACAACACUGACGCUGAGGCACGAAAGCGUGGGGAGCAAACAGGAUUAGAUACCCCAGUAGUCCCUGUCUCUUAUAA
This 301-nucleotide ribosomal RNA is filed under the name uncultured bacterium. Its description in RNAcentral is "partial 16S ribosomal RNA". It matches the Rfam family "Bacterial small subunit ribosomal RNA", at positions 509 to 809 of the family's 1533-position model. The record is from RNAcentral.